AGUAUAAACAACCCUGGGCCACUCUGGGAAGUGUGGUAUAUGAAUCAAACAAACAAACAAACAAACAGACAGACAGACAAAACUGUCUAACAUGAUCAGAGUGUUGGGUUAUCUGGCCUACAACUAUCUACUCUGAUUGGCAGCAACUUUUCAUGAUCACAGGCUGAGGAAGCUAACUCUACAGACUGCAUAACCCACACUGGAGCCUGCCACUAGUACCUGGAUCAAUUGGAGGAUCAAUGCAGGCCAAUGCACCCUGUGAGUAUUGUGGAGAUCAAAAGCACUGAAUUAGUAAUUCUGUCCCCUAAAUUAGGACCAGCUGGAUGGACCCCAGCUUCCAUUUGCACACUGGCAAUAAGUCAGAACCACAAAUUAUGCCACUCAUUGCAAACAAUAUGCAAUGCCAGAGAGUCAGCAUCCACCAAGGAACAGCUUGGAUCUGCAGAAAAUGAAGAACUACACAUUAGACUGUCUACCAGGGCUGAUGCUGGCACUUCCGAUGCUUCAGAAGCUGCCACCUCCACAUCCUCUGCUUCUGGCACCUAAAGAGAAUUCAUCUUCACAUAUUAAGAUGGAAGGGGGAAACAACAAAACUGUCCCACUCUCUAUGUUAGAUCCACAGAAGAGAUGAAGCCACAUGGGCUCUUUGCUGCUUCCCCAUCCAUUUCCUGCCAUUCUUUCCUUUCCAGAUAUAGUUGACUCCUUUCCAGUCUGAAAGAUGCUCUCUUGAUAGCAUGCAAAAAUGAGCAAGCACGACUGGAUGUCAUUGAACGUUGCAUUUUAAUUUGAACUGGCAUUUAUGAUCUUAUUGCUUUAGAUUUAUAUUGCAAACAUUCUUGCGGUAACGAAGAACAAUUUUGGUGAUUGCUGAUAUCAAUGAGGUGUUUCAUUCACAGCUAUGUCUGGACCCUAACAUAUGCUUUUUUGAUGUUAAAAUCAUUGGUAUUGCAAGGCAAUGCAGUUAUGUACAUUAUUGGAAAUAAUGCAUAUUAUAUUUAGUCCUGUGGAAGUGCGAUUAUACAUUUUAAAGUAGUAGUGAAUGAGCAACAUUGUGAGUGUUGCCUUAGACACCUGCAGAAGCACAGGUAGUUCAGACCUGCCCUCACUGCCUUGUGCAAGAUCAUCCCUAAGAAGUAUCAAGAGCUUCUUGUAUACAACAUUAACAUCAAUUAGAAUACUAUUUUGAGUCCAGGAAUCCAAGACCAAGAAAGGCAGAAAUAAGAUUAUGGAGCAGUUAAGACUGGUUAAUCUAACAGCUUUUCAAAAACCAGCAACUAAACAGCAAGAUGCAACUCACUUGUAGACACCAGUGGCAUUUUACAUUACAAAUAGGCUUUCAAUCUUAGGCUGCAAUCACGAUAUGAAUCUGCAUUAAAAUGUUGGCCUGUUUUAGAUGCUGUGUUUGUUUUGGUAAAUAGUUCACUGUAUGUAUUGUAAAUAUAUAACUGCGUUGUUAUAAAUUAAGGUGCUUGGGAGACUUUCCAUUGAUUAAAAUGAUGGGGAACAUUGCUGUCCAGAAGAGA
Molecule: long non-coding RNA, 1523 nt
Organism: Hemicordylus capensis (graceful crag lizard)
Lineage: Eukaryota; Metazoa; Chordata; Lepidosauria; Squamata; Cordylidae
Exons: 3
Source: RefSeq, a predicted model, not a curated record